RNAcentral lists this ribosomal RNA (400 nucleotides) under uncultured bacterium. Its description in RNAcentral is "bacterial SSU rRNA". It matches the Rfam family "Bacterial small subunit ribosomal RNA", at positions 359 to 776 of the family's 1533-position model. The record is from RNAcentral.
GAAUAUUGGACAAUGGGCGAAAGCCUGAUCCAGCCAUGCCGCGUGAGCGAUGAAGGCCUUAGGGUUGUAAAGCUCUUUCACCGGGGAAGAUAAUGACGGUACCCGGAGAAGAAGCCCCGGCUAACUUCGUGCCAGCAGCCGCGGUAAUACGAAGGGGGCUAGCGUUGUUCGGAAUUACUGGGCGUAAAGCGCACGUAGGCGGAUCGUUAAGUUAGGGGUGAAAUCCCGGGGCUCAACCCCGGAACUGCCUCUAAUACUGGCGAUCUAGAGUAUGGAAGAGGUGAGUGGAAUUCCGAGUGUAGAGGUGAAAUUCGUAGAUAUUCGGAGGAACACCAGUGGCGAAGGAGGCUCACUGGUCCAUUACUGACGCUGAGGUGCGAAAGCGUGGGGAGCAAACAGG